This 497-nucleotide ribosomal RNA is filed under the name uncultured bacterium. RNAcentral's name for it is "partial 16S ribosomal RNA". It matches the Rfam family "Bacterial small subunit ribosomal RNA", at positions 28 to 507 of the family's 1533-position model. The record is from RNAcentral.
GAUGAACGCUGGCGGCGUGCCUAAUACAUGCAAGUCGAGCGAACAGACGAGGAGCUUGCUCCUCUGACGUUAGCGGCGGACGGGUGAGUAACACGUGGAUAACCUACCUAUAAGACUGGGAUAACUUCGGGAAACCGGAGCUAAUACCGGAUAAUAUAUUGAACCGCAUGGUUCAAUAGUGAAAGACGGUUUUGCUGUCACUUAUAGAUGGAUCCGCGCCGCAUUAGCUAGUUGGUAAGGUAACGGCUUACCAAGGCAACGAUGCGUAGCCGACCUGAGAGGGUGAUCGGCCACACUGGAACUGAGACACGGUCCAGACUCUUACGGGAGGCAGCAGUAGGGAAUCUUCCGCAAUGGGCGAAAGCCUGACGGAGCAACGCCGCGUGAGUGAUGAAGGUCUUCGGAUCGUAAAACUCUGUUAUUAGGGAAGAACAAAUGUGUAAGUAACUAUGCACGUCUUGACGGUACCUAAUCAGAAAGCCACGGCUAACUACGUG